CUGACAGAAGAGAGUGAGCACACAAAGGCAAUUUGCAUAUCAUUGCAUUUGCUUCUCUUGCGUGCUCACUGCUCUUUCUGUCAG
RNAcentral lists this microRNA precursor (84 nucleotides) under Arabidopsis suecica. Its description in RNAcentral is "mir-156". It matches the Rfam family "mir-156 microRNA precursor family". Rfam says of the family: This family represents the plant microRNA (miRNA) precursor mir-156. Animal miRNAs are transcribed as ~70nt precursors and subsequently processed by the Dicer enzyme to give a ~22nt product. Lineage: Eukaryota; Viridiplantae; Streptophyta; Magnoliopsida; Brassicales; Brassicaceae. The record is from RNAcentral. RNAcentral also lists the same sequence under 2 other names.